RNAcentral lists this ribosomal RNA (305 nucleotides) under Basidiomycota sp. MA5346. RNAcentral describes it as "eukaryotic LSU rRNA". It matches the Rfam family "Eukaryotic large subunit ribosomal RNA", at positions 280 to 598 of the family's 3401-position model. Lineage: Eukaryota; Fungi; Basidiomycota. The record is from RNAcentral.
AUUCAGCUCAAKAUGCGCGGUAAAUUCCAUCUAAAGCUAAAUAUGGCUCGAGAGACCGAUAGCGAACAAGUACCGUGAGGGAAAGAUGAAAAGCACUUUGGAAAGAGAGUUAAACAGUACGUGAAAUUGUUAAAAGGGAAACGAUUGAAGUCAGUCGUGUUUAUUGGAUUCAGCCGGUCUUCGGUGUACUUCCUUUAAACGGGUCAACAUCAGUUUUGUCCGGUGGAUAAAGGCAGUAGGAAGAUGGCUCCCUCGGGAGUGGAAUAGCCUAUUGUCACAUACACUGGAGGAGACNGAGGACCGCG